AAAUUGAAGAGUUUGAUCAUGGCUCAGAUUGAACGCUGGCGGCAGGCCUAACACAUGCAAGUCGAACGGUAACAGGAAGCAGCUUGCUGUUUCGCUGACGAGUGGCGGACGGGUGAGUAAUGUCUGGGAAACUGCCUGAUGGAGGGGGAUAACUACUGGAAACGGUAGCUAAUACCGCAUAACGUCGCAAGACCAAAGAG
Molecule: ribosomal RNA, 200 nt
Filed under: Escherichia coli
Lineage: Bacteria; Pseudomonadati; Pseudomonadota; Gammaproteobacteria; Enterobacterales; Enterobacteriaceae
Also listed under: 1 other name
Description: partial 16S ribosomal RNA
Rfam family: Bacterial small subunit ribosomal RNA
Source: RNAcentral